GUUAGGAAUAUUGGACAAUGGGCGCAAGCCUGAUCCAGCCAUGCCGCGUGAGUGAUGAAGGCCUUCGGGUUGUAAAGCUCUUUAGCCGAUGAUUAUAAUGACUGUAGUCGGAAAAUAAGCCCCGGCUAACUUCGUGCCAGCAGCCGCGGUAAUACGAAGGGGGCGAGCGUUAUUCGGAAUCACUGGGCGUAAAGCGUGCGUAGGCGGCUUUGCAAGUUGGGAGUGAAAGCCCAGGGCUCAACCCUGGAAUUGCUCUCAAAACUGCAAGGCUCGAAUUCGGGAGAGGAUAGCGGAAUUGUCAGUGUAACAGUGAAAUGCGUAGAUAUUGACAGGAACACCAGUGGCGUAAGCGGCUAUCUGGACCGAUAUUGACGCUGAGGCACGAAAGCGUGGGGAUCAAACAGGAUUAGAAACCCUGGUAGUCC
Molecule: ribosomal RNA, 425 nt
Filed under: uncultured bacterium
Lineage: Bacteria
Description: partial 16S ribosomal RNA
Rfam family: Bacterial small subunit ribosomal RNA
Source: RNAcentral